This 483-nucleotide ribosomal RNA is filed under the name uncultured bacterium. RNAcentral's name for it is "partial 16S ribosomal RNA". It matches the Rfam family "Bacterial small subunit ribosomal RNA", at positions 28 to 507 of the family's 1533-position model. The record is from RNAcentral.
GACGAACGCUGGCGGCGUGCUUAACACAUGCAAGUCGAACGCUGAAGCUCAGCUUUUGUUGGGUGGAUGAGUGGCGAACGGGUGAGUAACACGUGAGUAACCUGCCUCCUUCUUUGGGAUAACGCCCGGAAACGGGUGCUAAUACUGGAUAUUCACUGGUCUUCGCAUGGGGGUUGGUGGAUAGGGUUUUUCUGGUGGGGGAUGGGCUCGCGGCCUAUCAGCUUGUUGGUGGGGUGAUGGCCUACCAAGGCUUUGACGGGUAGCCGGCCUGAGAGGGUGACCGGUCACAGUGGGACUGAGAUACGGCCCAGACUCCUACGGGAGGCAGCAGUGGGGAAUAUUGCACAAUGGGCGCAAGCCUGAUGCAGCGACGCCGCGUGAGGGAUGGAGGCCUUCGGGUUGUGAACCUCUUUCGCUCAUGGUCAAGCCGCAACAAUGGUUGUGGUGAGGGUAGUGGGUAAAGAAGCGCCGGCUAACUACGUG